ACAGCAGCCGCAGGAGCAAUCGCGCCGUACGCGGGUCUCUAGAUCUAGUUGUUGAGGCGUUCGAACAUUCCGAGAGCAGUUGAAUUCGAGUCGUCGUGGAAAACGGUUCUGAAACCAUACAGCACAGUUGUUGUCUUAUCCUCCACCCCCCACGGGCCAGGUAAAGCGUUCGCGAAAAAUUGUAAUCCACCACAGUGUUGUGUUUUUCCGCUCCCGUGUGUGCGGCAUUUUAUUAGCGUGUUUUUCUACACCACCACCGUGUUGAGUGUGCGUUUUGCGUGAAGAGCGCGCGCGCGUGUGUAUUGUGUGUAAGUGUGCGUUAGUGUUGGUGGUGUAUUGGGCGCUUUGCUCCCAAACCCCUUUCCCUGUGCAUAACGUCGCGAUAGUGCGUACGAUUGACCUUCUCUUUCUCACUCUCUCUCUCUCCCCCUUCUCUCUGUCUCUCUCUCACAUCCCAGUACGUUUGUGUGCGUAUCGCGUCGUCAGCGUAACAGCAACAGCAAAAAAGCCGCGCUGCAUCUUCGCGAAGCAAGAAGCAGCCCGUGAAGGAAGCGAAGAAACGAACCCGUCGUCAUCAACCGACCGACCGUUUAGCGAGCGGAGAGCGUACGGAGAGCGUGUGAACGCGUUCGGGUUUUUUUUUGUGUGCGGUGUGUGCGCGCGCGUCUUUUGGAGUGUGCGUUCGCGAGCGGCGAGAGCAGGAGAGCGAGCACGGCAAGCGCAGAGAGCGUGCGAGAGCGAGAGCACGAUCGGUCGGGGAAUUUGGUCGCUCAGCAGAGCAGAGGCAGCAGCCGCAGCAGCAGUAAAUUGUAAGCCGCAGUAGUUAGCAGUUGUCGCCGAGUUCGCAGCCAGCGUCGCCACACGGAAGAGCCGCAGCAGCAGCAAGAGUGUGCAAAAGCAACCAAGCAGCAGCAGCAGCACCAGCCUGUCUAUUGUCAGCUAGUUUUUCGUGCAGCGAAAACCAACCCAGACACCAAGCCACCACCCUUUUUUUAGCAGCAAAGAUGGCCGAUCAACUUACGGAAGAACAGAUCGCUGAAUUCAAAGAAGCGUUCUCGCUGUUCGACAAGGACGGCGAUGGCACAAUCACGACCAAGGAAUUAGGCACCGUUAUGCGAUCGCUAGGUCAGAACCCCACAGAAGCAGAACUGCAAGACAUGAUCAACGAGGUCGACGCGGACGGUAACGGCACGAUCGAUUUCCCCGAGUUUCUAACAAUGAUGGCUCGCAAAAUGAAGGACACGGACAGUGAAGAGGAAAUCCGGGAGGCGUUCCGAGUCUUCGACAAGGAUGGCAACGGUUUUAUUUCGGCAGCCGAGCUGCGCCACGUCAUGACUAAUCUGGGCGAGAAGCUAACAGACGAGGAGGUCGAUGAGAUGAUCCGUGAAGCCGAUAUAGAUGGCGAUGGCCAGGUUAAUUAUGAAGAAUUCGUAACAAUGAUGACAUCGAAGUGAGCUACAGGUCGAUACAUUGCGCCUUUCUAUUUGUUUAUUAAGAAGACUGUAGCCACGCGCAACAACAGCUGCGCAACGCUAUCGAUUUGGAUUUAAAAACCGGGGAAGAAGCAAAUGAAGGAGAGAUACAGCGUGGGAUAAUAUUGUGGAGUGUGGAGACAAGCAAAGAUGAUGAUGAUGAUGAUGCAAAUGAAAAGGAAGGAACAAAAAGGAGUAAACAGCAAAGCAAAGCAAAAGAGUACAGCAGCAAGUAAAGCUAAACGAGAUAAACAUUAAAUUAAACUUCAAAAAGCAUAACACAGAGAAAAAUACCAAACAAGAGCAAGAAACAAACAACAGCAAGUAAACUCUCAUGAUGGCAUCAGUGAUGAAGCACAUCAGCUUGAUGAAGAACAUCUACAAAAAUUAAGCAAAGAAAAGAAAAAAAUACUACAGCAACAGCAAACAACAGCAGCUCUUUUAACAACUAUAACCGAAACGAAGAAGCAACAGCAACAACAGGCCAUAACUAUCCAACAAAACGACAACAGCUUCAUCACCACCACCACCACUACCACCAUCACAAGAGACACAACAACACACAUCUCUCGCUCCCACGCAGAUGAAAGAAAGAGAAGAAAACAGAAAAACAAGUGUGUCGCCAUUGCUAACGUGUGUAAAGCAACAAGCACUAAGUUUUGUGGCAGCAGCAGCAGCAGCAGCAGUAGCAGCGGCAACAGCAGCAGAAACAGCAGUAGCAGCAGCAACAGCAACAGCGCGCAGGCAGCAGCUUAUCUUUCUCAUCCUGAACAUCGCGCAGAGAACCUGGGCCGAUUGAUAUCCUCUUUAUGGCAUGGAGCGCGCAAACCUAAUUACAUCUUGCGCAGCGCGGUAGUGUUUUUUGGCAGUUUGCUUGCAAAUGGGAAUUAAAGUAUAAGAAGCUCGGUGAAGGCAAGAAGCUGUAGGCAAACAAAUCAUCGUUACGAUUUGCAAUAUUAUCCAUUCACAAUGAUAACAACGAGUCUCACACACACACACACUGCUCUACAGGUGCAAGAAGAGUUAAGCGAGGCAACGCGCAGCUUAAAAGCACGUGGAAGAUGUCAGUUAACACCGGGUUUAAAAGCACGGCAAGAUAAAUACUGUGUCCGGGUGCAGCACAAUUGGAUUGCAGCUAAACCGAACAGUGUAAUCGUAGAACAGCAAACAAGAGAGAUAGUAAAUGCAGUAAAAACAACAAACAAAAAAACAUUAUUGAUAAAAAUAAGAGCUUUUCACUAAGAACUACUACUACUACUACCAAGGCAGUGUGUAAGAGAGAGAGAGAGAGGGAAGGCUAGCGCGAGAAGAGAAUGUAUUUAAAAGAAACUGUUUAUGAACAAAACAACACACACGUACAUAAGUGCAACACGAACAAAUACAAUCACAAACACACGUACACACAUGAAACGGUAGGAAGAUAGGUUCGAAUGCCGUACGAACGGAUCUUCGGACAGGGGUAAAACGAAGACGAAAAAAAAUCCAAAUGAAAGAUCAUUUCUUCCCUUUCUUCCUUUCUUUCCUUUCGUCGUCGUUGUCGUCGUCGUUGUCGCGUUUGUUAGCGUUGAGGUAAAAUAUUUGAAAUGCAAAUAAAAGCAACACACACACACAAACAGAAGAAACCCUUACGAAUAAAAAAGCAAAUAACACAAACUGAUAAAACAGCUAAAACAAAAGCAAAAACAAACAACAACUAAGCACACACACAUACACGAACAUGCACACACACACACACAUUGGGAAGCAGUCAAGAAGGGAGGUAUUUGAUAAUAGCAGAAGACACAAAGAUAUAAAGGAAUACACACACAGAGAAAAGCAAAUAGCUGGGCGAAAGCGAAAGCGGCAGCGGGCACAUAUUUGUAAGAAUUGUUGUGUUUGGUAAUUAUUGCACGAAUAGCAAAGGCAAAGCCUGCAGAGCCAGCAGCGGCAGCAGCAGCAGCAGCAGCAGAAACAGCAGCCGCAGCGAGCAAAAGUGUGUGAAAGCAAAGGAGAAAAGCACUAUCCCCGAGGUUUAAACAAAAAAAAAAAACAAACAAGCAAAAGCAAGUUAAUAAAGAAGAGAAAAACAAUACACUAAUAGAUAAUACACAGAAGAAGAAAGCAAACAAGCGAACAAAGCAGAGAGAUAACGAAGAUAUAUUAAAAUAAAUAUAUAUACCUUAUAUAUAUACACACACACAGCAAAACAAACAAACUCAAGCAACACAACAAAGAAGAACACCCAACAAAAACCAGACCCCAUUUUGACUCAGUAAUUCCCACCAUCAUCGCUACCACACACACACACACCACAAGGCGUGUAACUCCACCAACAUCACCCCCCCACACACCCACCAUCGUGCGUGAGUGUGCGUGUUUGUGUAUGUGUGCGUAUGCAUUAGUGUGUGUGUGUGCGCACACGCAUCCUUGUGCGUAAGUGCUUGAGCGCGCGUCCGAGCACACCACCACGUGUUGGUGAUGAUUAGAAGGCGGAAGUGGAAGCAUUUCACACACACACAAUCACACAGUCACACAGAAAACCGGAAACAAUUGGAGGGAACGGAAAGGAACGGAUGCGGCUGGAUUGGAAUGGUAUAUCCCGCCCGGGAUCAGCUGGAAAGGGAAUGCGCCGAUGGAAUGUGAGCCCGGUGUGGGGGUAGGCAGGGAAAAGGAUGCUUGGCGUGUGUUGUUGGCCAGAGGAAGGACGGUCAAUGUGCGCGUGUGUGUGUGUGUGUUGAAACGAAUGGACGAGAUGAGUAACAAUAUAAUAAUUAAUAAACAGCUGAAGAGCACUCUCUACUACUA
RNA transcript from Anopheles stephensi (Asian malaria mosquito), 4256 nucleotides. It is a transcript of the gene named calmodulin, with no coding region annotated. The transcript is spliced from 6 exons. The record is from RefSeq and is a predicted model, not a curated record. Lineage: Eukaryota; Metazoa; Arthropoda; Insecta; Diptera; Culicidae.